GUGCUUGCUUUGGCAGCAUAUAUACUAAAACUGGAACAAUACAGAGAUGAUUAGUGUGGCCCUUGCACAAGGAUAGCAUGCAAAUUUGUGAGGCAUUCAUAUUUUUU
RNAcentral lists this small nuclear RNA (107 nucleotides) under Microcebus murinus (gray mouse lemur). Lineage: Eukaryota; Metazoa; Chordata; Mammalia; Primates; Cheirogaleidae. The record is from RNAcentral.